RNAcentral lists this unclassified non-coding RNA (426 nucleotides) under soil metagenome. RNAcentral's name for it is "partial contains 5.8S ribosomal RNA, internal transcribed spacer 2, and large subunit ribosomal RNA". The stretch from base 1 to 120 matches the Rfam family "5.8S ribosomal RNA", at positions 35 to 154 of the family's 154-position model. The record is from RNAcentral.
GAUGAAGAACGUAGCGAAAUGCGAUAAGUAAUGUGAAUUGCAGAUUUCAGUGAAUCAUCGAAUCUUUGAACGCACCUUGCGCCUUGUGGUAUUCCACAAGGCAUGCCCGUUUGAGUAUCAUUAAAUCAUCAACUCUAAAACCUUUGUGGUUUUUUUUAGAGCUUGGUCUUGAGGGUUUUGCAGGCUUUUUUUUUUUUUCGAGUUUGCUCCCUUUAAAUGCAUUAGCGAGACUUCCCUAUGCUGAACCGUCUCUUUGACGUGAUAAUUAUCUGCGUCGAAUUUUGGUUCUCGUUGGGCUUGCUUCUAAUCGUCUGUUAAAGACAAAACGGAUUUGGGUGCAUAUAUGCGCCUUUUUCCAAAACCUUUUUUUGAUCUCAAAUCGGGUAGGACUACCCGCUGAACUUAAGCAUAUCAAUAAGCGGAGGA